AUUAAUCCUUCUUGGCCGGCUCAUUCCAACCUUGUACUUCUGCUGUGCCCCAUAUACAAAAUGGUAUUGUUGGUACAGUUAAGAUAGCAAGCGCCAACCAAAAUACUUGCUGCCAUUCAGAUAAGACCGUCUAUAUACACAAUAAUCCAACCGACAGAAUAUGGUGCAAGUACACCAGCUAUGCCACCCAAACCGUUUACAAUGGCCAUAACAGUAGCCGAAUAAUUGGGGGUCAUAUCGUUGGCAGUUAGUUUUAUGCCAGCAUAAUAGCCGCCCAUGAGCGCCAUUGAGAUGGUGAAACAUAAAAUUAUCCAUACUGUCUCACAACCUAUAUAUACGGCUAUAACCAUAAAGAGCCCAGAAGGUGUUGCAGCUAAUUUGAAAAGAAUUUGUAGGAUGAUAUAUGCUUUAAAUGAAGUUCGCAACACUUUACCUACCUACGAAUGCCAUAAUUUUACGCAUAACUGUCACAGAGAAUAUCUCAUAGUUCACGAGCAAAUCCGAGAUCACACCGGACAGCACAGAUAACAGCCAAUUCAUCAUAUAAGGCAACUGAUUCUGCAUACCAUUGAUGAUAUUUUCAAAAAACGUUUGCUGCUUGGCAUCUCUGAUGAACUGUGGCACUUCAGCCGCAUGUUGCAGCUGUGUCCAGUCAUACUGUAUGGUAGCCGAGAUGAGUGCCCACAUAGGUAAAUUUCGAAAAAUCUCCUUCCAAGGCGUUUUUGUCGUUUUAUGCCGACAACGCGCUAUUAAACCGAUUUCUUUUUGCAGAUAUUGCUUUUCCGUAACUUUGAUAAAUGGAUUUUCCUCUGGUGUAUUGUAACACAUGUAGGUCUAAAGUGGUUGGGUUAAACAAUAAUUUUUGCUUUUAAAGCAAUACACUUGUCGUACUUACGAAACCAAUGAACCACAGUAAAGUGCAUAUACCAAAGUAAUAGAAAAUCAACGACCAAUCGUAGCGAUGCAAUAGCAAGCCCGCAAUAAAAUUACCCAUUGAAAUGCCAAUUUGACUGCCACUUAAGACGAGUGAGCCGAGUGUAGCACGCUCUUUGCCCGGCACCCAUUUGGAGAGCAAUUCACUUAAUGCCGGAUAUGUGGGUCCCGCGCUGAAGCCAAUUAGCAAGCGUAUUGCUAUAAGCGCCAAGGGACCACCCCAUUUCACCACAGUUGGUGUGAGUAAUGUAAGCAAUGCGGUUAUGGCCAAACCAAUUGCCAACACCCACUUGCCCCCAUAACGCAUAGCAAGUUGUGCACUGGGUACAUGUGACAAAACGUAGCCCACAUAAAAGGAGAUCAGUAUGAAGUUUUGCAGCUGCUCGGACCAAUCGAAGUUGCCAGCUUUAUCGUGUCGCCUAUUGCCAAAACUCAUUAAAGUGCCAUUGCGAUGUUGUUCCAUGCGUUCAUACAAAUUAAAUGUACUCAUCUUAAUCGUGUCGAGGUUACGCAUGCGCGCAAAUUUCCGUUUGGGUGCAACGAUAUGCGCUAGAGCGAUAUCCAAACAGUGACGCAUUGUGUAUGCAUUGACAAUGGCGAGGAAGCCGAAGAAGCAUAAGAUGUAACGUUGCGGCACAACAUU
Molecule: long non-coding RNA, 1576 nt
Organism: Zeugodacus cucurbitae (melon fly)
Lineage: Eukaryota; Metazoa; Arthropoda; Insecta; Diptera; Tephritidae
Exons: 3
Source: RefSeq, a predicted model, not a curated record